UACGGAAAAAGUAAAGCUUAAAAAAGAAAAGCGAAAGAGCGGGGGAGCAGAGAAGGGGAAGGAUAAAAAGGUCGCCGCCUAUGGAGCCAACCACCAGUCCGCAGGUCGCGAGAGGGUAGUCAACGCGGCGGCGUAGAGGGCCGGCUCCAAAGAAUGGAACUGGUACACGUGAGACCCAACUUAAUAGAAGGACUGUCGUUCGGAUCUUAAGACCAUACCUCUCCAUUGUUUCAAUUCCUAAAGAGCCUUAAUGUAUUCUCGUUGUCAGCAAGCAUACCGUUCUCCGGCAACUUCGCAAAUAGUGGUAGUCAAAUGCGUGUCUUCAGAACACUUUUCAAAAGUACAAGUCAUUGUUCACCACGUCGAUGGAUAUCAUAGGGGAAACGGUUAUUCUAAAGUUGUAGUCUUCAAGUACGAGGUCGACAACUAUUACAGAGAAAACGGACAUUUCAACUUUGCCGAAUACGAAGUGCCAAACCUUUACUCUUCUGGCCAAGUCUCUUUUUACAGUCGCGCGCAGCGAUAUCCCCACUCGCCGUACGUACCAAGCGAUUUUACGUGGUUAGAACUCGAACCUGGAGCAAUAGUGCGACUACCCGUCAUGCAGUCACGUCUCUAAAACAGUUUGAUUUGAGGUACCGUUCAACGUAAAAGGAAAGAAUCUGCUAACGAAGGUACUCUACCAAUGGAUGAUUACUUGUCUGUCAAGACAAAGGAGUUCAACAAUUAGCUCGCGGCUCCGGUCCUCGUCUUCUCAUGGUACCACUAGUCGAAGUCAACGGGCCGUUCAUCAUCUUUUGACUGUACCAAAAACCGGAAUGACAAGUAUUACCGAGCUCAGAUACCGGUCAGAUGAAGACCCAAGUAUUCGUAGCUAACACCUUUGUCAUUGUGGAUGUUGCUGUAGUGUUGUCCUUAUGUCAUGGUCAGUCUGCAACCUAAACAGCUCCCGCCAAACUCGAUGUUGUAAAGUCGCCUCCGAGGACACCGCUUACUCGUUGUUUUUUGGGACUCCUCGAAGGGACUUCCUAGUGCUUUAACGAUACGCGACGGUAGGUCGUAACCAUUCUUCAUAGACAACUCCCGGUGUAAAUGAAUGGCGUUGAUACUACCCAACUUGUCCUGAUACCUGCCCAGUGGCAAAGACAAACCCGAUGUAUAGCCGCAGUUAAAGACCCUCUGCCACUUGAACUGCUUAACCUUACUAGGCGAUUACUUCCUCCACGAGUGGCAACGAGGCCCGCUGAGGCACAGCCAGACAGACUAUUUGAAGCCAUGUCCCUGAGGUAAGCACAGAAGCAACCUCGACUCCGGUGACGUUCUACGCUACAUGGGAAAACACUUAAGAAGCCACAGUUAGUCGAUGAAAUUUGCCAAGUCUAAACCAUUGUAGUGACUGGUAUAGUGUUCAGUUAAUGUACUUUCUUCAGUUCUUCGUGAUGUUAAACCGUGCUUAUUUCUCUCAUAAGGACCUUUCCAAACUGAACGCUGAUGGGAUUCUCGUUGGUCUUAGGUUCUUAACAACGUCAUUUAGACAGAUGGUCGCCUGACUUUCCACCUAAAAGGCAUAGCAAGUACUUGUACAGUAGUGACCUUUUGAACCUAAAUAGAAUGUUGUUAAACUGCCCUCGUUAAGGUCUGAUGGCUUAUGCCAGUGAGUCUCAGGAGUUGAACAGUUUAUUGGUCCUGGUUAGGGACUAAAACAAGAAGUUCCAAAAGUCCGGCCAGACGAACUGAAUUCUAAUCUUCCGUUAGGGUAUACGAGUUUUGAGUUUCUAUGUAUGACGAGUUUAUUCUUCUUGUGCUACGUAUAAUACGAUUGGCGUCACUAUCAAGGACACCAUCACCAUAGGGAGGAUCAUCACUACACGUAUGAGACCUUCAAUACGACCUUUCGCUUUAGUCCUCUGGUACUCCUAAUACGAUACAUACUUCUCCUUUGAGGUGAUGUAUAACUAUAGUCCGCCAAGUGUAUGCGUCUCGACUUCGAUUAUUGUUCACUGAAGGUUAGUUAGUAACCUUUUCCUCCAAAGCCAUAUCAAAUAGUACCGUGUGAUCUUUUACCACUACUUCAUCGACACUUCCACGAAUACCUCUGUAGUUAUCGUCUCCGUUGUCUGAAGGAGGGACUCCACGUUUGGAACAGGUUUCAAAUAGUGUUCUUGGAACACUGAAAUGUUCCUAUAACGGUCUUGUUCUUCACGGAUCGUGAGCAAAUACUAAAGUACGGGUCUCCUUUAGAAGUUGUCGAAAAUUCUCCUCCUCUGCUGAUAUCAAACUUAACCCUUGUUGCUGAAGUAUAACGUGACCUACGACGUGUUCCUGACCUCAUAGAUGUACUCAAUACGUGGGGUAGUUAUCACGUGUCUCUACACUUCUGGGGUUUGUAGGAAGACCUGUUCUUAGAUCACCCCCAUUAUAGACUAAAACCCGAAAGUGCCCGAAAAUUACUACGAGUGUGUGUGUAUAGAUGACAACGACGACCGUGAGAACCGAUGGAGCUGGGACUCAUGGUACGUUGAAAGGUCGAGUGUCAGUUCUGUCUGCAAAUGUCGAAGCCGUAGCACGAGAACCUCUUGUAGUGGCCGGUUGGGGGUCAUAAAUACCUGGGAGUUUGACAGGUGGAUGGUUUAACCCACGCCGUUUUCUAUCGAUUGCUGUCGUAAGUGCUGCAACAUCUGUUCUUUGACGACCUAGACAUGCUACGGCCAAGGGACGUCUCACAUCACCUGGAACGGUACUUGACGCACCCCUUACGUCGGUAGCUGUCCGGCUGGUACUGGCUCCAACGAACUUCCGAAUUUCACACCAACGGUCGCCGAAGACCCUGGGGAGCUGCAUGCAUGAGGUACCUAUCACUUUAAGGUUCCGUUAAGGUCGACUACUAAAGUCCUCGUGCAUUGCUCCCCUCGAGAAAGGUCAGACCGAUAUGGUUACCCUACAGUGUUUACUCGGAGAAAAGACCUGCAACUUUCCCUUUGCGGAUGACACAAUAACAAAAUAUAUGAACGAAUCUAUUACAAACCAUUAAACGAAAUGACGUAGCAGUAACUGACAGAGCGUUUAGCCUUAAGUCAUGAACAUAGUAAAAGUCAAACAUUGCUUUAAGUCAUUGAAGGGUCGUUUUUUUUUUUCUUUGAGCCAUUAUCCUUG
Molecule: ribosomal RNA, 3153 nt
Filed under: Triticum aestivum (bread wheat)
Lineage: Eukaryota; Viridiplantae; Streptophyta; Magnoliopsida; Poales; Poaceae
Description: partial small subunit ribosomal RNA
Source: RNAcentral